RNAcentral lists this long non-coding RNA (754 nucleotides) under Equus asinus (donkey). RNAcentral describes it as "lncRNA (ENSEASG00005028573.1)". Lineage: Eukaryota; Metazoa; Chordata; Mammalia; Perissodactyla; Equidae. The record is from RNAcentral.
ACAGACUGUCCGUUGUAAUUUGGCAGCAGCAUUUAAUGGCUCUGAGACCAAUGCCAAGGCCAUCAACCCUUCUGAACUUCAACCUCCUUAUCUGUAAAACAGAGGGAAUACAGGCUGACAUUUUAUGAGACUACUUGAGAUACUUUAGCAUCUGCUUCUAACCCUGAAAGACUGACCACCAGGAUGGAGUGGAGGCUCUGAACUCCCAUUCUAGAACAAGCUUUGAAGAAUCCCCUUAAUUAAAAAUUGAAGUGGCUGUAUCGUCACAAUGUUGAGAGUGCUGUUAUUCCUGUGUUCAUCAGCAAGCCACAGCUUUCUCAAAGAUGGUUGUCUCAAAUGAGUGAGAAGAGAUGCUGUCCCUAGGGGAAGAUGUUCUAACUCCAGUCUUUUUAAGAGAUUAGGUUUCCCAUGUGGAAGACUCGAAAAUCCAUGGGACCUGUGAGGGAAGGAGACUGAAGGAAGAGACAAGUAGAGGAAGCUGAUGAGAAGCUAUGAAGCAGCAGCCCUGCGGAAAGGCUUGGGAUCCAGUCACACGAGCCUGUAAGAGUGAUUUCUCCUCCAUGUCAUAACUCACCUGAUCCCAGGAGACAAAGGGAUAGAAGGUCCCAGUUGAUGUGGCCAGACCUCUAGGAUGGCCUAAGUGGGAACCUGGAUGGUCUUCCAUGAUCCAUUCAUUCCUUAAAGACUGUCCACUGGUGCCCAGAACUACUGUUGGUAUUGGGAAUAACACAGGGAAUAAAGACAUCUGCAUCAC